UACGGAGGAUGCAAGCGUUAUCCGGAAUGAUUGGGCGUAAAGCGUCCGCAGGUGGCUGUGUAAGUCUGCUGUCAAAGAGCGAAGCUCAACUUCGUAAAGGCAGUGGAAACUACACGGCUAGAGUGCGUUCGGGGCAGAGGGAAUUCCUGGUGUAGCGGUGAAAUGCGUAGAGAUCAGGAAGAACACCGGUGGCGAAGGCGGAUCUCUGGGCCUUACCUGACGCUGAGGCGCGAAAGCUAGGGGAGCGAACAGG
RNAcentral lists this ribosomal RNA (253 nucleotides) under uncultured bacterium. Its description in RNAcentral is "partial 16S ribosomal RNA". It matches the Rfam family "Bacterial small subunit ribosomal RNA", at positions 524 to 776 of the family's 1533-position model. The record is from RNAcentral.